This 1061-nucleotide unclassified non-coding RNA is filed under the name Hevea brasiliensis (rubber tree). Lineage: Eukaryota; Viridiplantae; Streptophyta; Magnoliopsida; Malpighiales; Euphorbiaceae. The record is from RNAcentral.
GAUCUAUAGGUUUAUGUAUUUUUUUUUUCUAAUUUGAAUUAUUUUUCAAAAUUAAUUUUACUAAAAUACGUUAUUAAUAACAUCUAAUUUGAUAUAUUUAUACUUAUUAUAUAGUUGUACAUCUUAGUUUUACUUGUAUCUACUAAUAUCUACUCAUUUUAUGAAUUUUGCAAAAUUUUCAAAUAAAUUUGCAUAGCGCCGGACUGUUACCAUUACGACCCUUGACCAUAACUGCAGCUGCAACCGCGAUUUAAAACUAUGCUCAUCAUAGAUAAUGUUGUGUGACUUAUGUGCAUUCCCACAGAUUUUAAUUGCUUUGUUGACUUACCGGUACUGUAUAUAUGAAGCCCAACGGUUUGUUUGAAUGGUUAGGUGAAAGCAUGUUGGGUCAUUGGUCUCAUGAAGUCUCAACCUGAAUUCGAACCCAUCACAAACCUUUCACUGGACUUCCUCUCAGGAUUUAUCCUGGUAGUUGCAUGGUUUGGAGUAAGGAGAUUGCAUGUACUAGGUGUUCGUCAGGUGGUCAAGGUGUUCCAAGAAGACGAGGGAAAAGGAAGGAAAAAAGAAGAGGGGGGAGGGGUUUCUAAAAUUCGUUUAAUGAGUAUGAUUCCAAAACAUAGUAAUUUUAAGUGUUUAUAAACAUAUGCCAUGUGUUUUUACCUUUUUUUUUUCUCCCUUAUUGGUGUUGUUAACUUCUUGCUACUGUUCUGACUAUAUUGAUGCUGAUGCUUGGAUUGUAAAACCAUAAUUGGAUAACAAAUGGCAUAAAUGGUAAAUUAUGAUGUGGAUAUUUUUUAAGGUCAUUAGCAUAAUCUUUAUUUAUUAUGUUUUGCCUUUUGAGUCUGUUGGUUGAUAGAUCCAGAUUGUCCUAAUGAAGAAUGGAUUGUUAUCAGUGUAACUUAAAAAAUGAACUCACACAGUAUUUUUCUUUGUGCGAUUCGUAGCCAAUUUUGCUAUACUUGUGUUAACCUCUAAUCUGUAGAUCUCACUCAUAGGUUCAAUUUCCAAGUGAGUAAGGAACUAUCCUUCUGAUCAUAUUGUGUAGGUUUUCCACUGUUUUG